AGCGGCGGACGGGUGAGUAAUGCGUGGGUAACCUGCCUCAUACAGGGGGAUAACAGUUAGAAAUGACUGCUAAUACCGCAUAAGACCACGGUACCGCAUGGUACAGUGGUAAAAACUCCGGUGGUAUGAGAUGGACCCGCGUCUGAUUAGGUAGUUGGUGGGGUAACGGCCCACCAAGCCGACGAUCAGUAGCCGACCUGAGAGGGUGACCGGCCACAUUGGGACUGAGACACGGCCCAG
RNAcentral lists this ribosomal RNA (240 nucleotides) under uncultured bacterium. Its description in RNAcentral is "partial 16S ribosomal RNA". It matches the Rfam family "Bacterial small subunit ribosomal RNA", at positions 94 to 334 of the family's 1533-position model. The record is from RNAcentral.